UGAAACAUGAACAUCAGUUUUAUAUCAUUAGUAUUUAUAUUCAGAGUUGAGCAAGUGUCUAUCUAUAUAGACACUUGUUAAACCCAAGAUCCUUCUACAUUUAGUAUUAAAUUACUGCUAUAGAAUAUAGCCCCAAAUGUGAUUUGGGGAUGCCAAGCUCUGGCACUGUUCAGUUACCAUUUGUCUAAUCUGGAACAGCCAAGGUUGUUCCCUGAGUCUGGUUAAAUCACAGGAAAACAUCCUAAAUUAUGCCUGAUCUGCAUGGCUUGGGUUCCUGGUGGUGUCGGUAGAUGAAGGUCCCACUGACCCCCUUGCCCUUCGAGUCACCAUCACUGGCCAGCAGCAUUGCCUUUCUUCUAGACACCGAACUUAGGAGUAUGACCAUCCGUCCGUGCCAAGUUCUUCGAAUAUUCAGAGCAAAUCAGUCUUCUGGACUUCCAAACCCCAUUUUUCUCAGAACUUGAGUUGUGAAGUUUUUAAAGUUUCAUUUAAAAUGCAUUCACCUGUCAAGGCUCACUUAAAGGACAUGUCUUUCCCUACCACUACCUCUCCUUGUCACUCUUUAGAAAGCGUCACCCUUCCAUGCUCCCGACUCCUCAAGAGGGAGUUGUAUGCCUCUACCCUUUUGCCCAGAGCACAUUGCACAGCCUGGACUUUCACAGUGACACCAACCCACAUCCAACCUUAAUCCAAAAAUAGAUUCAACAGGAACAUCCCGAGACUUCUGGCUACCGGGACAUCCAAGAGUCAUGCCUUCUACGCCCACCGCAUACUGAAUGCAGCCAGGUGACCAAAGGUGACUGUGAAGUCUGCACCCUGACUAGGGAAGCAAGGGAUCUGGCUUAGGAAGAUCUUGGAAAAGCAAGGAAGAAUGGAACAAAGGACCUCAGACCUGGCUCCAUGGUGAGGGAAGAAAUGUCCUCGGCGCAACAGCAAGAGUCCGAGAGAGGACAGGUGCAGGGUAUUCAUGCUCUAGAUGGAGGGGAAGCCCACAGGAGGACAUGGAUACGUGGUCCAUUGGCUAAGAGCCAAGGUCUGGCAGGGGUCAGCAGGGCUGUGUUCCAACCAGUGCAUACAAGCCGAGCACAUCUGUGAGGGAGCACUGACAGGGACCAGGCUCCUAGUCUUGAGCUGACCAUGCAGCAUACCUGAAUGAAUCUUGGUUUCCUUAUGCAGAAAUAAGAAAAAUCCAUUUCCUACUGGGCCGAUGGCAGCAUUGCCGCGAUUCACACGUUCCAACCCCAGUUCUUCAGAGUUACAGAGCUGGCUAGAUUCAGCGUGUGCUACCUCUACAGCCUCCAGGGACUCUUCCAUCAUAUCUGUCAUGUUUCCUUAUAAUGUAGGGACAUUGAAGGUACCUGUGUCACAAGUUUAAGGUAUUUAGAUUCAUGUCUGGCCCCUCCAGCACUUAAUGCCAUCUUGACAUUCUUCAGGGAGGGUUAGAAAAGGUAAUAGAAUUUCAGGAUGAGACACAUCUGGGUAUUGUUAUCACCCCCUUGAAAAAUCAUCUCCCUGCAAUAGACUUAAUUAUAAACUAAGAUCUCCAUGUUAUCUAUGAACUGACUUUUUAUGUUCCUAAAAUUCAUGUGUAGAAAUAUUUAUCCCCCCCAAGCAAUAGCGUUAGGAGCUUGACCUUUGGUCAAUGAUAAAGUCAUGAGGGUAGAGACUCAUGAUGGGAUUAGUGACCUUCCAAAAGAGACUCCAAGCAGAAGGCACCAUCCAGGGACCUCCUUUAAUGGGCACUGAGAGCCACACCUUGACUGUGGACAUCAGCCUCCAGAAGUACGAGGGAUAAAUGCCAGUUGUUUGUAAGCGGCUGGUUGUCAUGACAGCAUGAAUGGACCAGGUGGUGAUUAUGAUGUCUGGUUUCUCUAACUGGAGAGAGAGCUAGGGAGUCAGCAUCAGCCCGGCGCAUGUACUCCCUUGCCCUGUGCACCCAGGAUCUCAGAAGGGAACUCGAGUCCUAAUGCACAGUGAGUGUUGCACCAAAAGGCUGCAGGAGGUCAGUGAGUGCCAGUGCAAAGAGUUCCACAUGGUGCACAGGGAUGAAGGUGGGUUGCGACUGUCAACAGCACACUAUGGCCAGCUCUGUUAUUACUUUACUUCUCAAAUGAAGCAUUGAUUGAUCCAAAACAGAUAAAGACUACACUGCCAGCUCUUUGAAAAUAACUAGCUCUGAUGCUGUGAUGCGAAUCUUCAAUGAUAAAAGUCAUCUCCCAUGGGAUAUAGAUGUAGUAUUCACUGUUCCUAGAUACGUUUGGUGCUUCUGUGUCCUGCCUGCUCCUAUGGCAAGAGGGCUCUAGGAAUAACACAGGCUGUGGUCCAGAAAAUUCAAGUCACCCAGUAAGCAUCCACAAAUGAAACAAUGAGCUACCGUAUGGGGAGACUGAGGACAAAGCAGAUGCUUAGAAAUGCUUAGUGAACCUUGACUUCUGGGCCAAGAUAUUGACUCUACACACAAUGAAACUGCCCAUCCUUAACGUAGCUGAGAGACCCUGUUGUUAGGACCAGUUCAGCAACCACCAGCAAGCAAAGAGAGGACAGAAAUGUUGCUGGAUUUAUGAUUCUCUUCGGAAAUCCAAGAAGGCAUGAUGGACACAUGGGACAAGGGAUAUGUCUGGUGAGAAAUCCCCUCUGGUAGAACACUGAGCAGAUGGUGAGUCUAGGUGCAGUGACCGGAUGCACUCGGUGGACGGUCUGUCCUCACUCACUGACUGACUCUUCCAGGAGGACAGACACGUGUCCCUGAGUUUUGUGCAGACAGCCUCUCUCGCCUAAAGACUCUCGGUGCUGAAGAGGGCAGAUGGUCUCAUCCCAAAAUCUCCCUUGAACAUACCUGGUCAAAAGGCCAUCAAAAGCGAUUACAAUCUCCCCUACCGGAGUCAUCCUUCACCAGAAAUGUCACUUGUAGAAAACACUCAUCCCAUG
Molecule: long non-coding RNA, 2928 nt
Organism: Mesocricetus auratus (golden hamster)
Lineage: Eukaryota; Metazoa; Chordata; Mammalia; Rodentia; Cricetidae
Exons: 6
Source: RefSeq, a predicted model, not a curated record